UACGUAGGUGACAAGCGUUGUCCGGAUUUACUGGGCGUAAAGAGCGCGCAGGCGGUCGUUCAAGUCGAGUGUGAAAGCCCCCGGCUCAACUGGGGAGGGUCACUCGAUACUGAUCGACUCGAAGGCAGGAGAGGGAAGUGGAAUUCCUGGUGUAGCGGUGAAAUGCGUAGAUAUCAGGAGGAACACCGGUGGUGUAGACGGCUCACUGGACCGUAACUGACGCUGAGACACGAAAGCGUGGGUAGCAAACAGG
This 253-nucleotide ribosomal RNA is filed under the name uncultured bacterium. RNAcentral describes it as "partial 16S ribosomal RNA". It matches the Rfam family "Bacterial small subunit ribosomal RNA", at positions 524 to 776 of the family's 1533-position model. The record is from RNAcentral.